Molecule: ribosomal RNA, 253 nt
Filed under: uncultured bacterium
Lineage: Bacteria
Description: partial 16S ribosomal RNA
Rfam family: Bacterial small subunit ribosomal RNA
Source: RNAcentral
UACGGAGGGUGCAAGCGUUAUCCGGAUUCACUGGGUUUAAAGGGUGCGUAGGUGGGCAGGUAAGUCAGUGGUGAAAUCUCCGGGCUUAACUCCGAAACUGCAUUUGAUACUGCGGUGCUUGAGGACUGGAGAGGAGACUGGAAUUUACGGUGUAGCAGUGAAAUGCGUAGAGAUCGUAAGGAAGACCAGUGGCGAAGGCGGGUCUCUGGACAGUUCCUGACACUGAGGCACGAAGUCCAGGGGAGCAAACGGG